Molecule: long non-coding RNA, 467 nt
Organism: Rhipicephalus sanguineus (brown dog tick)
Lineage: Eukaryota; Metazoa; Arthropoda; Arachnida; Ixodida; Ixodidae
Exons: 3
Source: RefSeq, a predicted model, not a curated record
GCUAGAAUGUUGGGCAAAACCUUGUAGUUACUGAGUCCUUGGAGACGCCGUGAAGAUGAAGCCUAUAAUAUUGUAUUUAUUCGUACUGGUAGCGCUCAGUAGCAUGGCUCUAUGUGUGAUUCCACGUCCUACUGGCUUGACUAUUAGAUAUGCUUGCACAAGUAACUGCGUAAAUCGACGAGCUGGACAACCAUGCGGUAGCGGCUGUUCUUGUGUACGUAACAACGUUCACAGGGAUGUCUUAAUAUGCCUGGCCAAUCAUCAAAGAAGACCCUACGAUUUUGAUCGACAUCGAGGAUGAUUGUAAGCGUACACAUGCUAUCAAAAAAUGUGUGAAUUGGGUGCUUGUGCAGCUUCUGGAUUACCGUAAAGGAAGUGGUAUAAAGCAACGCAGAGCUGUACGGUUUUCUGACAUCUUUCUACCUAUUUUUCAUGGGAAAUAUCUGCUGAAUAAAAAAUAGCGCCCG